This 291-nucleotide ribosomal RNA is filed under the name uncultured Acidobacteriaceae bacterium. Its description in RNAcentral is "partial 16S ribosomal RNA". It matches the Rfam family "Bacterial small subunit ribosomal RNA", at positions 202 to 511 of the family's 1533-position model. The record is from RNAcentral. Lineage: Bacteria; Pseudomonadati; Acidobacteriota; Terriglobia; Terriglobales; Acidobacteriaceae.
AAAGGAGCAAUUCGCUUAAAGAGGAGCCUGCGGCAGAUUAGCUAGUUGGUAAGGUAAUGGCUUACCAAGGCGACGAUCUGUAACCGGCCUGAGAGGGCGGUCGGUCGACACUGACACUGAAUAACGGGUCAGACUCCUACGGGAGGCAGCAGUCGGGAAUUUUGGGCAAUGGGCGAAAGCCUGACCCAGCAACGCCGCGUGAAGGAUGAAGUUUUUCGGAAUGUAAACUUCGUAAGAAUAGGAAGACUACAUGACGGUACUAUUAGUAAGGUCCGGCUAACUACGUGCCAG